UGUACGGACUGGCUUGAGGUGUGUCGUGCACUUCCACGGCAUGAAGUUGGCAGGGGGCCGCCUCCCUCCCCCUUUCCAUAUUUUACAUUUUUGUUCUCUCUCUCUCAUCUAUUUGAGACCUUGGACUCUGCAUUUCAUCCCUCCCACCUUUGGUCUCUUUGGGUGCAUUUCACGCUCCUUCUCCUGUGGGUCAGUGCUUCUGAGUUUUUCUACUUCAGAUCUUGUUUAGACAUGAUUGGUCAAGAGCAAUGGUGGACCAAAGAUCGACAUGUUUCCCGCUCGAAGGGAGCGCGUCAGACCUAUAUGAUUGGGGCCUUCUGUCAUUUAUAUACCAUCCUGAGAAGGACCGAGCUUUUAUCUCCAGUUUAGAUAGGAGACCUAUAGGAUCAGACCAUUCAUUAUUGAUCACUCCCUUCGAACCGAGUUCUGCCUUCGAUUGAGAUUGGAGGCAAAAUCUAUUCAUUUCCCUACUGAGGAUAUGGUGAGUAUUAUAAGAGCUAGGGGCAUUUGAGAGCCCUUACUGAGUAUCCCUCUUGAGGAGGGAGACGGGACCUCUUAGGAACUUCUCCCCCUCUUGAGAGAAAGAAGAAGGGAAAAUAUCAUAUAUAUCUAAACUGGCUUGAGAAUAAUUUUGGAGACUAGAGUGGAGUCUCUCAUGAGCAGUCAGGGAGGUAGGUCGCAGGGAGUACCAUGUCCGUCUAUUGAGGAUAUAUUGGGUGAUGCUGACGAGGUUCAUGUUGCGAAGGAUAGGAGGCGGAUCUCUCUCAAGACCAGGAGAUGGCGCGAGAAUAAGCUUUUCGCAGCUGAGCCCGAUCUUUUCACUGUCUCGGUGGAUAUGGAGGUGGUGUACAAUCCUAUGUUUAUAGAUGAGGUCCAGGAGCCGAGGGCCUUUUUUAUUGUUCUUAUUUGGUGACUUCAUCUUCUUUGAUGGGGCGAAGGGAUGGGCCAAAUAUAAGAUAGCCUUGCCUACUAGGGAUCUGGAGUACCUGGAGAGAGUUGUUUGGGCUCCUGUUAUUUUUGUCAGGCUCUCUACGCAGGAUUGCUACAGAGGAGGUUACCUAUGUUGGAGGAUAUUCGGUCUUCCUUCAUGUUUGGGCGUGGGAGUAUGUUGCCAUCCCCCGUCCCAUCCCGGGUGAGUUUAUAGAGCAGAUAGUCUUUGGAGUUGUGGGAGAUCGACUCUAUUUUUUCUUCUCCCAAUUCUUUGACACUAUGUCAGGUUAGUCAAAUUCCCCUUUGAUUUUCUUUCACAUAUCUAAUUUU
Long non-coding RNA from Amborella trichopoda, 1260 nucleotides. RefSeq lists it as uncharacterized. The record is from RefSeq and is a predicted model, not a curated record. Lineage: Eukaryota; Viridiplantae; Streptophyta; Magnoliopsida; Amborellales; Amborellaceae.